This 467-nucleotide ribosomal RNA is filed under the name uncultured bacterium. RNAcentral describes it as "partial 16S ribosomal RNA". It matches the Rfam family "Bacterial small subunit ribosomal RNA", at positions 28 to 507 of the family's 1533-position model. The record is from RNAcentral.
GAUGAACGCUGGCGGCGUGCUUAACACAUGCAAGUCGAACGGAAAGGCCGAAGCUUGCUUCGGUACUCGAGUGGCGAACGGGUGAGUAACACGUGGGUGAUCUGCCCUGUACUUCGGGAUAAGCUUGGGAAACUGGGUCUAAUACCGGAUAUGACAAUCUCUUGGAUGGGGUUGUGGAAAGCUUUUGCGGUAUGGGAUGAGCUCGCGGCCUAUCAGCUUGUUGGUGGGGUAAUGGCCUACCAAGGCGUCGACGGGUAGCCGGCCUGAGAGGGUGUACGGCCACAUUGGGACUGAGAUACGGCCCAGACUCCUACGGGAGGCAGCAGUGGGGAAUAUUGCACAAUGGGCGCAAGCCUGAUGCAGCGACGCCGCGGGGGGGAGGACGGCCUUCGGGUUGUAAACUCCUUUCGCAACCGACGAAGCUUUUUGUGACGGUAGGUUGAGAAGAAGCACCGGCUAACUACGUG